This 32-nucleotide small RNA is filed under the name Bombyx mori (domestic silkworm). RNAcentral describes it as "ovarian small RNA-4083". The record is from RNAcentral. Lineage: Eukaryota; Metazoa; Arthropoda; Insecta; Lepidoptera; Bombycidae.
UUCUGUGUACGUCCGCAUCCCUUAGGGGACAA